This 464-nucleotide ribosomal RNA is filed under the name uncultured bacterium. RNAcentral's name for it is "SSU rRNA". It matches the Rfam family "Bacterial small subunit ribosomal RNA", at positions 26 to 523 of the family's 1533-position model. The record is from RNAcentral.
AGAAUCAACGCUGGCGGCGUGCCUAACACAUGCAAGUCGCACGAGAAAGGGUAGCAAUACCUGAGUAAAGUGGCGCACGGGUGAGUAACACGUGAAUGAUCUACCUCCGAGUGGGGAAUAACUGAGAGAAAUCUUAGCUAAUACCGCAUAACACUUACGAGUCAAAGCAGCAAUGCGCUUGGAGAGGAGUUCGCGGCCGAUUAGUUAGUUGGCGGGGUAAUGGCCCACCAAGACGAUGAUCGGUAUCCGGCCUGAGAGGGCGCACGGACACACUGGAACUGAAACACGGUCCAGACUCCUACGGGAGGCAGCAGUGGGGAAUUUUGCGCAAUGGGGGAAACCCUGACGCAGCAACGCCGCGUGGAGGAUGAAAUAUCUUGGUAUGUAAACUCCUUUCGAUGGGGAAGAUUAUGACGGUACCCAUAGAAGAAGCCCGGCUAACUUCGCGCCAGCAGCCGCGGUAA